GUGCGCGGUCCUUGUCGGUCCUUGGUUAAGCGCAUACGGUGUUUCGCGAUGCGAGAUGGUGCGUGAGUGGUAUUUGGCGUGUGCGGUCAGGUUGGAUCCCUGCUCUAGCAGCGACGUCCUGCCAAGCACGCCUCUUCAUUUAAGACGACACAA
Ipomoea triloba (trilobed morning glory) is the source of this 153-nucleotide long non-coding RNA. RefSeq lists it as uncharacterized. Lineage: Eukaryota; Viridiplantae; Streptophyta; Magnoliopsida; Solanales; Convolvulaceae. The record is from RefSeq and is a predicted model, not a curated record. The transcript is spliced from 2 exons.